Long non-coding RNA from Harmonia axyridis, 2122 nucleotides. RefSeq lists it as uncharacterized. The record is from RefSeq and is a predicted model, not a curated record. The transcript is spliced from 3 exons. Lineage: Eukaryota; Metazoa; Arthropoda; Insecta; Coleoptera; Coccinellidae.
UAGGCAAAGAUCGCUGGAUAGCCUAACUGAAGACUUCACCAGCGAUCUCGGGACGAAACACUAUAUCUCCGGGAGAGGGCGCACCUAAAACUUGGCUCGAGUAAGACUCGCCAAAUAUUCAAUAAUAGUUCAUGAAAUUGUGUAUAUCUUGAUGAAAGCAGCCAUUGAAUAGAACAAAAUAUCAAAAAUUAGGGGACAUCUGUGUUGACAACCUGCAGUAAAUUUGCUUGCUGAAGGGUGAGUGGGUUUAGUUAAUGCUAAAUAAACUACGAAGGACAUGGGUGAAGAGCCUUCUUUAAGUAUGUAAUAGAAGCCAAAUCUGUUGUUCAAUGGGGUGUUAAAGCAGCAGGAACAAUCGUAUAAUGCAGGACAGAACGAGGGACAGACUAUACAAGAUCGCUUCCCAAUUUCAUUCAAAGAAAUUAACUUUUGCGCGCUUGUAUUCACUUCGAAUGUAGAUUUCACUUGAAUAAAUAUACAUACUUAAUCCAAAGUCAAACUGUGACAAGCCUUGAAAUAUAAAUGACGUGAUCUAUCUUUUUUUUAAAUUUCCAAACUUUUUAAAAGUUGAACUAGAUACUCGAAAAAAUUUUCGUCCUUCUUAUAUAAUCUGUGAUUUUGGCUAAUGUUUGAUACUCAUUUGUGUUUGUAUGUUUCUAGUCAUGGUUGAUAUGUUAGCUGUAGCACCCUUAACAUGUAAUUACAUUUCAACAAUGUGUUUAUAAAAGUAUAGUGAUAAAUAAAUAUAUUUUGGCAGUUUGAAACAGUGAACUGAAGAGAGAAAUGGAAGGUACCCGUAGGUACGCGAAUUCGCCUAAAAAUGUGCCCAAAAGUGUAUGAGAGAGAUGGGGCAUUUGUGGGAAGGACAUCUCUUUCUAUAGGUUUUUUAUUUACAAAUAUCAGCUGAUUCUCAUGACGUUUUUGUGGUUAUUUAAUUUAAUAUCGUUUUUAUGAUGAUGUUGAGGAGUAUUUAAUGAGAAAAUACAUAAGUAAACCGCAUCAAAACAGGAAAUAAGUCUCCCAAAACUUAUUUUAAACUUUGAAAACCUUCAUACUAUACGUUAUGAAUCUGCUAGUUUUUGAGAAAUAAAUAGGUAUAAAGAGAGCGAAAGUUGAUUCAACAAUGGUUGUAUGCUGUGCUGUUAAUUGAUGCCGAAAUUCACACAACAAAAAUGAGCCUGUGGCGUUCCACUCGUAUGUUGAUUAGAAAAUAUUUUCAAUGUAACAAUUUUCAAUUUGUAAAUUUUUAUAACUUCAAAAGCUUUAUGUUUUCAUUAUUUCAGGUUUCCUUUUAAACGCCCAGGUAUUUUAAAACAUUUGAGCAGAGCUGUAGGAAGGGAAAAUUGGUUUCAAUUAUAAACAAGUAGAAUAAGUGCAUUUUUUAUCAUAAGAUUUUACAUCAUACCAGGUUAUAAAAGAAAAAUUUUGAAACUUGAUGCAUUACCAAGUGUAUUCAAUAUCCCAAAACAUUUAAAGAAGAACGUACCGAAACCUAUGGCUAUACUGCAGGUGUUGAAGAAGCAAUGGAUGUGGGUUUAAGUAUACACCCAGAUACUAGUUCAGCAACAGAAUCUACUACUACUACUGCAAUAACUUCUGUAAAAUUUGAAGAGUUAAAUAUGAAUUCAGGUGUUAUUUUACUAUCUACAUCUACAACAACACCAAAAACAUAAAAUUUUUAGUUCAUGCAUCACAUAUUGUAUAUUCAAUAGCAAAUUCUUUAGAUAAACAAAUUAGGGCAUUGGUUAGUGAAGACGAAUUGAGGAAAACAAAACAAGUUUCGGUGAAUAGAGCUAUGAAAUAUUUUUCAGCAAAAAUAGAUCUCUUUACCCCUGCACACCUUGUGUAUACUGAAUUUAUUGAAGAGAAACUGCAAGAAGUUCAAAUCAUCAGAAAAAUUUCAAAUAUUAGUAUAUUCUUGAAAUGUAGAAUGCAAAAUGAAUCUAAACUAAUUGAUGAUGAACUUCAUGGAAGAUCGGCAACCAUCAGACAAAAUGUCUAAACUCAUUUUAUCAAAAUAUUAAGUUUUGUGUAUAUACUUAUGUACAUAUAUUUAUAAUUGUCUCCAUUAAAAUUAUUUGAAAAAAUUUAUUCUCGUUUUAAUUUGGGAGAGCUCCCAUAU